CUCUGCUGCCACUGCUGGAUCCGCUGCGGCAGGAUCUCGUAGAUCCGGUUGGCAGCCAGUUUGAUGCCGCAGGCCUCGCUGCAAUACUUGGACGGGGGCCGGGCGGGCCGGGUGCAGCCGGGCCCCAGGCAUUGCCCGCUGGCCGCCGGGUCGCGGGCGUCGCUGCGCUCCGGGUGCCGGUUCCGCUCACGGUGCCGGGGCUUCUGCCGGUGCCGUUUGUAGCGCUCCUCCUUCU
This 235-nucleotide long non-coding RNA is filed under the name Gallus gallus (chicken). Lineage: Eukaryota; Metazoa; Chordata; Aves; Galliformes; Phasianidae. The record is from RNAcentral.